GAGUUUGAUCAUGGCUCAGGACGAACGCUGGCGGCGUGCUUAAUGAAUGCGAGUCGAACGGGAUCCGAGGCGAGUCUUCGGACAGACUUCGGUGAGAGUGGCGAACGGGUGAGUAACACGUGGGUAACCUGCCUCCAACACGGGCAUAACAGAGGGAAACCUCUGCUAAUUCCCGAUGCCCUGUCUGUACGCGAGUGCGGACAGGAAAGCUCUGGCGGUUGGAGAUGGGCCCGCGGCCGAUUAGCUUGUUGGUGGGGUAAUGGCCUACCAAGGCGACGAUCGGUAGCCGACCUGAGAGGGUGACCGGCCACACUGGGACUGAGACAUGGUCCAGACUCCUACCGGAGUUAGCAUCAGGGAAUCUUGCGCAAUGGGCGAAAGCCUGACGCAUCGACGCCGCGUGGGUGAUGAAGGUCUGCGGAUCGUAGAGCCCUGUCAGGAGGGAAGAAGUUCUGACUGUACCUCCACAGGAAGCCCCGGCUAACUACGUGCCAGCAGCCGCGGUAACACGUAGGGGGCCAGCGUUGUCCGGAAUUACUGG
Molecule: ribosomal RNA, 541 nt
Filed under: uncultured Actinomycetes bacterium
Lineage: Bacteria; Bacillati; Actinomycetota; Actinomycetes
Description: bacterial SSU rRNA
Rfam family: Bacterial small subunit ribosomal RNA
Source: RNAcentral